This is an unclassified non-coding RNA of Macaca fascicularis (crab-eating macaque), 148 nucleotides long. It matches the Rfam family "Metazoan signal recognition particle RNA". Rfam says of the family: The signal recognition particle (SRP) is a universally conserved ribonucleoprotein. It is involved in the co-translational targeting of proteins to membranes. NCBI's taxonomy places the organism in Eukaryota, Metazoa, Chordata, Mammalia, Primates, Cercopithecidae. The record is from Ensembl.
GCUGGGUGUGGUGGUGUGUGCCUGUAAUCCCAGCUACUUGGGAGGCUGAGGCAGGAGAAUCGCUUGAGCCCAGGAGGCGGAGGUUGCAGUGAGCAGAGAUUGCACCACUGCACUCCAGCCUGGGUAACAGAGUGAGACUCCGUCUCAA